CAGCCGCCGCGGUAAUACGGAGGGUGCGAGCGUUAAUCGGAAUAACAGGGCGUAAAGGGCAUGCGGGCGGUGACUUAAGUGAGGUGUGAAAGCCCCGGGCUUAACCUGGGAAUUGCAUUUCAUACUGGGUCGCUAGAGUACUUUAGGGAGGGGUAGAAUUCCACGUGUAGCGGUGAAAUGCGUAGAGAUGUGGAGGAAUACCGAAGGCGAAGGCAGCCCCUUGGGAAUGUACUGACGCUCAUGUGCGAAAGCGUGGGGAGCAAACAGGAUUAGAUACCCCCGUAGUCCCUGUCUCUUAUAC
Molecule: ribosomal RNA, 301 nt
Filed under: uncultured bacterium
Lineage: Bacteria
Description: partial 16S ribosomal RNA
Rfam family: Bacterial small subunit ribosomal RNA
Source: RNAcentral